GACGAACGCUGGCGGCGUGCUUAACACAUGCAAGUCGAACGGAAAGGCCCUGCUUUUGUGGGGUGCUCGAGUGGCGAACGGGUGAGUAACACGUGAGUAACCUUCCCUUGACUUUGGGAUAACUUCAGGAAACUGGGGCUAAUACCGGAUAGGAGCUCCUGCUGCAUGGUGGGGGUUGGAAAGUUUCGGCGGUUGGGGAUGGACUCGCGGCUUAUCAGCUUGUUGGUGGGGUAGUGGCUUACCAAGGCUUUGACGGGUAGCCGGCAUGAGAGGGUGACCGGCCACAUUGGGACUGAGAUACGGCCCAGACUCCUACGGGAGGCAGCAGUGGGGAAUAUUGCACAAUGGGCGGAAGCCUGAUGCAGCAACGCCGCGUGCGGGAUGACGGCCUUCGGGUUGUAAACCGCUUUCGCCUGUGACGAAGCGUGAGUGACGGUAAUGGGUAAAGAAGCACCGGCUAACUACGUG
This 468-nucleotide ribosomal RNA is filed under the name uncultured bacterium. RNAcentral describes it as "partial 16S ribosomal RNA". It matches the Rfam family "Bacterial small subunit ribosomal RNA", at positions 28 to 507 of the family's 1533-position model. The record is from RNAcentral.